CUAGCUUCCGAGGGACUUCUCUGCGAGCACCGCAGGCGUGUGCAUUUCUUCGAAUCUGAGAAUUCCAGCGAACUCGGGCUCUACCAGAGUUUAAGUCGGCCCCUGGGGCGUCUGUUUGUUUAUUGGCUCUUAAGGGAAAAAAGUUUGAAGAUCUUUAACCAGCCUCAGACCUGGCGCGGGCGGAAAUCCCGGAAUCUCCCCAAGCAAAAGUGAUCUAACUUCAAGUCGUUAUAUAAGUGGGGGGCUCCUUCUUCCCCUCCCUACGCCGAGCCUUCUCAUUAUCAUUCCGGGAGUAAAAUGUGUCUCGCUCAA
RNAcentral lists this long non-coding RNA (312 nucleotides) under Pan troglodytes (chimpanzee). RNAcentral describes it as "lincRNA". Lineage: Eukaryota; Metazoa; Chordata; Mammalia; Primates; Hominidae. The record is from RNAcentral.